RNAcentral lists this transfer RNA (76 nucleotides) under bacterium. RNAcentral describes it as "tRNA-Glu". It matches the Rfam family "tRNA". Rfam says of the family: Transfer RNA (tRNA) molecules are approximately 80 nucleotides in length. The record is from RNAcentral.
GUCCCCAUCGUCUAGUGGCCCAGGACUCAGGGUUUUCAUCCCUGCAACAGGGGUUCGAGUCCCCUUGGGGACGCCA